Molecule: long non-coding RNA, 987 nt
Filed under: Lathyrus oleraceus (garden pea)
Lineage: Eukaryota; Viridiplantae; Streptophyta; Magnoliopsida; Fabales; Fabaceae
Description: Pisum sativum (pea) long non-coding RNA (PSAT_LNC029913)
Source: RNAcentral
AACCAAUCAAUUCUCUUUGAUUUUUAAAACAAUGAUGUUGGUGUCAGGUCUAAAAUAAUAUAAACUAGAUUCAUGAGUAAGAAAUAGAGGAUCAACAAGCACGUAGAUAAUAGGAUUUGAACUAAAUAAAUAAAUAAAUCUAAAUAAUAUUAUUUCUUCCCUUUUUCAUUGUCAUCAUCUUAGAAUACAAAAUCCAUAACAACAGGGUUCUAAAAAUAAAAAUAAAAAAUAAAAAUAUUCUUGAAUUCCCAAACUAUAACUAAAUGAAAGCUCAUAGAAAUUUCUAGCAAGAGACUUUGUACACAUCUCUUAACCACAUGCACAUGUCCCGCUUAUACCAGAUGGAGUUUCCAACAUAAAACACUUCGGUUUUAAAGGAAAUGGACACAUAUUUUUUGGACAAUCAGAAUCGCGAGUACAUUUAUUAAGCGCUGCAAUGAAUAAUAAUAAUAAAAUAAGUUAUUAAAAUGAGAUAAAAUAUUACGUAGAAAGUAAAUAAAAAAAUUUAAAAAACUGUUAAAAAUUAUAGUUACUGUCAGUCUUCAUUGCAAGAAGAAUUUGGCAAAGAAAGAUGAUGAUAACAUAAAUUUUUUUUACAAGUUCACCCAUAGUUUCUCCUCUUUGCAUGCAAGUUUUAUUAUGUGGUUUUUAUCUCUUUAUAAAGUUUAUUCUCUUUUUACAUAGACUAAAUAGGUUUUAGUGAUUAUGAAGUUGUAAAAUACCUUCUUAAAGUUAGAGUCAUGAUUAUAUAUCUUUAAGUUUAUCUAAGUGUUGUGUUUGUCUCUUCAGUAUACUUUGUAACGAGGCCAUAUAAAAAAAACUUAACACUCAUUCUUAUUAUACACAUUUUCUAUUAUUAGUAGAAAAUGGACGAUAAAAAAAAAGAAAGAGAAAUAAUAUCUUUAGAUUUUAUGUCAGCCGUACGCUUUAGCAAAACUAUAGCUAUUUCUGUGAUAGAUUUCAAACUCAUUAACAAAUCCUCAAGCG